UACGUAGGGUGCAAGCGUUAAUCGGAAUUACUGGGCGUAAAGCGCGUGUAGGCGGCUACUUAAGUUGGAUGUGAAAUCCUCGGGCUUAACCUGAGAACUGCAUUCAAUACUGGGUAGCUAGAGUUUGAGAGAGGUGGGUGGAAUUUCCGGUGUAGCAGUGAAAUGCGUAGAGAUCGGAAGGAACACCAGUGGCGAAGGCGGCCCACUGGCUCAAAACUGACGCUGAGACGCGAAAGCGUGGGGAGCAAACAGG
RNAcentral lists this ribosomal RNA (253 nucleotides) under uncultured bacterium. RNAcentral's name for it is "partial 16S ribosomal RNA". It matches the Rfam family "Bacterial small subunit ribosomal RNA", at positions 524 to 776 of the family's 1533-position model. The record is from RNAcentral.